GAUGAACGCUGGCGGCGUGCCUAAUACAUGCAAGUCGAGCGAACAGACGAGGAGCUUACUCCUCUGACGUUAGCGGCGGACGGGUGAGUAACACGUGGAUAACCUACCUAUAAGACUGGGAUAACUUCGGGAAACCGGAGCUAAUACCGGAUAACAUGUUGAACCGCAUGGUUCAACAGUGAAAGACGGUCUUGCUGUCACUUAUAGAUGGAUCCGCGCCGCAUUAGCUAGUUGGUAAGGUAACGGCUUACCAAGGCAACGAUGCGUAGCCGACCUGAGAGGGUGAUCGGCCACACUGGAACUGAGACACGGUCCAGACUCCUACGGGAGGCAGCAGUAGGGAAUCUUCCGCAAUGGGCGAAAGCCUGACGGAGCAACGCCGCGUGAGUGAAGAAGGUCUUCGGAUCGUAAAACUCUGUUAUUAGGGAAGAACAAAUGUGUAAGUAACUAUGCACGUCUUGACGGUACCUAAUCAGAAAGCCACGGCUAACUACGUG
RNAcentral lists this ribosomal RNA (497 nucleotides) under uncultured bacterium. RNAcentral describes it as "partial 16S ribosomal RNA". It matches the Rfam family "Bacterial small subunit ribosomal RNA", at positions 28 to 507 of the family's 1533-position model. The record is from RNAcentral.